UCAAAGGGGAGCUUGUGUGACAGGCUGAGAGGAAGGUAUCACCUUCGACCCAUAACCUGAUUUGGAUAAUGCCAACGUAGGGAAGAAUAUGUUU
RNAcentral lists this non-coding RNA (94 nucleotides) under uncultured Ruminiclostridium sp. RNAcentral's name for it is "TPP riboswitch (THI element)". The stretch from base 5 to 83 matches the Rfam family "TPP riboswitch aptamer (THI element)", at positions 11 to 88 of the family's 105-position model. From Rfam's summary of the family: Vitamin B(1) in its active form thiamin pyrophosphate (TPP) is an essential coenzyme that is synthesised by coupling of pyrimidine and thiazole moieties in bacteria. The previously detected thiamin-regulatory element, thi box was extended, resulting in a new, highly conserved RNA secondary structure, the THI element, which is widely distributed in eubacteria and also occurs in some archaea. Analysis of operon structures identified a large number of new candidate thiamin-regulated genes, mostly transporters, in various prokaryotic organisms. Lineage: Bacteria; Bacillati; Bacillota; Clostridia; Eubacteriales; Oscillospiraceae. The record is from RNAcentral.